CCCUUAGAUGUCCUGGGCCGCACGCGCGUUACACUGAUGCAUUCAACGAGCUUAUAACCUUGGCCGAGAGGCCUGGGCAAUCUUGUUAACGUGCAUCGUGAUAGGGAUAGAUUAUUGAAAUUAUUAAUCUUGAACGAGGAAUCCCUAGUAGGCAUUACGUCAUUAGCGUGUGCCGAUUACGUCCCUGCUCUUUGUACACACCGCCCGUCGCUACUACCGAUUGAAUGGCUGGGUGAAGAAGACGGACACGGCCGCCCUAAAAAGCGGGCGUUGGAAGUCUUCUCAACCUAGGUCAUUUAGAGGAAGUAAAAGUCGUAACA
Molecule: ribosomal RNA, 320 nt
Filed under: uncultured eukaryote
Lineage: Eukaryota
Description: partial 18S ribosomal RNA
Rfam family: Eukaryotic small subunit ribosomal RNA
Source: RNAcentral